CCUACGGGGGGCAGCAGUGAGGAAUAUUGGUCAAUGGGCGCGAGCCUGAACCAGCCAAGUCGCGUGAGGGAGGACGGCCCUACGGGUUGUAAACCUCUUUUGCCGGGGAGCAACGGGCGCCACGUGUGGCGUCACUGAGAGUACCCGGCGAAAAAGCAUCGGCUAACUCCGUGCCAGCAGCCGCGGUAAUACGGAGGAUGCGAGCGUUAUACGGAUUUAUUGGGUUUGAAGGGUGCGUAGGCGGAUCGUUAAGUCAGUGGUCAAUUUGAGGGGCACACCCCCUUCCCGCCAUUGAAACUGGCGUACUUGAGUGGAAGAGAAGUAUGCGGAAGGCGUGGUGUAGCGGUGAAAUGCAUAGAUAUCACGCAGAACCCCGAUUGCGAAGGCAGCAUGCCGGCUUCCGACUGACGCUGAAGCACGAAAGCGUGGGGAUCGAACAGGAUUAGAUACCCGAGUAGUC
RNAcentral lists this ribosomal RNA (460 nucleotides) under uncultured bacterium. RNAcentral's name for it is "partial 16S ribosomal RNA". It matches the Rfam family "Bacterial small subunit ribosomal RNA", at positions 338 to 795 of the family's 1533-position model. The record is from RNAcentral.